Molecule: ribosomal RNA, 206 nt
Filed under: uncultured bacterium
Lineage: Bacteria
Description: partial 16S ribosomal RNA
Rfam family: Bacterial small subunit ribosomal RNA
Source: RNAcentral
UACGUAGGGUGCAAGCGUUAAUCGGAAUUACUGGGCGUAAAGCGUGCGCAGGCGGCUUUGCAAGACAGAUGUGAAAUCCCCGGGCUCAACCUGGGAACUGCAUUUGUGACUGGCAGGCUAGAGUAUGGCAGAGGGGGGUAGAAUUCCACGUGUAGCAGUGAAAUGCGUAGAGAUGUGGAGGAAUACCGAUGGCGAAGGCAGCCCCU